This 270-nucleotide long non-coding RNA is filed under the name Hordeum vulgare. RNAcentral describes it as "long non-coding RNA (HVUL_LNC004972)". Lineage: Eukaryota; Viridiplantae; Streptophyta; Magnoliopsida; Poales; Poaceae. The record is from RNAcentral.
CUAACACGAUCGGGGUUGUUAUGGGGACCCCCUUGAUAAUUCGUUUUAGAUUAAAGCUGGUCUGGCAAGGCCCAACUUUGGUACUACAUUUUCCUAAUAACCUAAUAAUAAUGCAUAGGGACCCGUCGGCACCCGCGGACUAUUUUAAUCAACCCCCGGGCCAGUGCUCCUCAUGAGUGUUGGUCCAAAACAGAGCAGCUUAUUAACGCUACCCGGGGCAACUCGGCGUUUGGCGUGGUAACCAUCGCUCAUCCGUCAUGUCCUGAGAAC